Molecule: long non-coding RNA, 411 nt
Filed under: Pelobates cultripes (western spadefoot toad)
Lineage: Eukaryota; Metazoa; Chordata; Amphibia; Anura; Pelobatidae
Source: RNAcentral
CUACCAUCUACCCUACACACUGGCACUUACAUGGCAUAAAUUGGGCAAUCCUUUCCCUGCUCAACUUUCGAGCUACAGAUUAACCUACUAUCGAUAUUCGCAGAUACUCUGUGCUGGUUAUGAUAACAUAUCCAGAGGCAAUACAGUCAUACACUAUCUAGAAGACUUCUUGUUGCUCAAAGCAUAUUUUUCACUAGAAGCCUCAUGGCAGCUUAGUCUGGUUGACCACUUGGGCGUCCCAGUACCCCAUAUGAAACAGAAGGCGCAGACACUAUCAUCGCAUUACUGGGCAUAUGACUUGAGUCGGCAUCCAUACACGCAAGUUACCACAAGACAAAUAGGGAACAUUCUCAACUAAAUCAAUCACUACCUCCUGCUUAGUACUUACAACUACAAGGAACUACAAUCCCU